CGACCCGCCCGCUUCAAAAGCUUUAAGAACCAGGGGAAGAACCUUCCUGACCCCACCUCACCCGCCGCUCACUCGGACGGGUGACGCACCCCAACUCAACUGGCGCAUAUGCCAUGACGCGGUGCAAGCUCAGCCUCGACAACAGAACACGACCGCAGAAAUGCGGCGGCCCCCGGCCGGGACUGGCAUCCCGAUCGAGGGCCUCACCAACGAGGAAGAGAUCGCUUCCCC
This 231-nucleotide non-coding RNA is filed under the name Streptomyces pristinaespiralis ATCC 25486. RNAcentral describes it as "Streptomyces sRNA 4677". It matches the Rfam family "Streptomyces sRNA 4677". From Rfam's summary of the family: Located in the intergenic region between anti-sigma factor SCO4677 gene and a putative regulatory protein gene SCO4676. scr4677 expression requires the SCO4677 activity and scr4677 sRNA itself seem to affect the levels of the SCO4676-associated transcripts. The record is from Rfam by way of RNAcentral. Lineage: Bacteria; Bacillati; Actinomycetota; Actinomycetes; Kitasatosporales; Streptomycetaceae.